AGCUCCAAUAGCGUAUAUUAAAGUUGCUGCAGUUAAAAAGCUCGUAGUUGGAUCUCGGGUUCGGGUCGGCGGUCCGCCCCUCAGGGGUUUCGCGACUGCUCGGUUUUUCUCCCGAUCCUACAUGCCGGUUCAUUCAUCUCCCCGUCGGUGCUCUUGGUUGAGUGCCCGGGGCGGCCGGGACGUUUACUUUGAAAAAAUUAGAGUGUUCAAAGCAGGCCCUUUGCGAGCCUGAAUAAUGGUGCAUGGAAUAAUGGAAGAGGACCUCGGUUCUAUUUUGUUGGUUUUCGAGAGAUCGAGGUAAUGAUUAAGAGGGACGGCCGGGGGCAUUUGUAUUGCGGCGUUAGAGGUGAAAUUCUUGGAUCGUCGCAAGACAAACAGCAGCGAAAGCAUUUGCCAAGAAUGUUUUCA
This 408-nucleotide ribosomal RNA is filed under the name marine Metazoa environmental sample. Its description in RNAcentral is "SSU rRNA". It matches the Rfam family "Eukaryotic small subunit ribosomal RNA", at positions 587 to 972 of the family's 1831-position model. Lineage: Eukaryota; Metazoa. The record is from RNAcentral.